GAAAACUCCGGUGGUAUGCGAUGGGUCCGCGUCUGAUUAGGCAGUUGGCGGGGUAACGGCCCACCAAACCGACGAUCAGUAGCCGGCCUGAGAGGGCGGACGGCCACACUGGGACUGAGACACGGCCCAGACUCCUGCGGGAGGCAGCAGUGGGGAAUAUUGCACAAUGGGGGAAACCCUGAUGCAGCGACGCCGCGUGAAGGAAGAAGUAUCUCGGUAUGUAAACUUCUAUCAGCAGGGAAGAAAACAGACGGUACCUGACUAAGAAGCCCCGGCUAACUACGUGCCAGCAGCCGCGGUAAUACGUAGGGGGCAAGCGUUAUCCGGAUUUACUGGGUGUAAAGGGGGCGCAGACGGCAUGGCAAGCCCGGUGUGAAAGGCAGGGGCAUAACCCCUGGACUGCACUGGGAACUGUCAGGCUGGAGUGCCGGAGGGGUAAGCGGAAUUCCUGGUGUAGCGGUGAAAUGCGUAGAUAUCAGGAGGAACACCGGCGGCGAAGGCGGCUUACUGGACGGCAACUGACGUUGAGGCCCGAAAGCGUGGGGAGCGAACAGGAUUAGAUACCCUGGUAGUCCACGCCGUAAACGAU
This 589-nucleotide ribosomal RNA is filed under the name uncultured bacterium. RNAcentral's name for it is "bacterial SSU rRNA". It matches the Rfam family "Bacterial small subunit ribosomal RNA", at positions 202 to 810 of the family's 1533-position model. The record is from RNAcentral.